UGUUAGCGGAGCAUCCGUAGGUGACCUGCGGAGCAUAUCAAUAAGCGGAGGAAUCCGUACGUUAUCUCUCCACCUGUGCACAUAUUGUAGGUCUGGAAUAAAUUUCUGGGGUAACUCAGUAGUGGGGAAUGCUGCUGCGAAGUGGCUUUGCCUGUAAUUUCAGAUCUAUGUUUUCAUAUACACCAUAAAAAUGUAACAGAAUGUAAUAAUGGGUCUUGUACCUAUAAACUAUAUACAACUUUCAGCAACGGAUCUCUUGGCUCUCGCAUCGAUGAAGAACGCAGCGAAAUGCGAUAAGUAAUGUGAAUUGCAGAAUUCAGUGAAUCAUCGAAUCUUUGAACGCACCUUGCGCUCCUUGGUAUUCCGAGGAGCAUGCCUGUUUGAGUGUCAUUAAAUUCUCAAUCUUAUUAGCUUUUGUUAAUAAAGACUUGGAUGUGGGGGGAAAAUUUUUUUGAAGGUUUCUCGCGAGCCUUCUCCCCUAAAAUGCAUUAGCUGGUCGCUCGCGCGAACUGUCUAUUGGUGUGAUAAUUAUCUACGCCAUUGACUAACUGCCAUAGUAGCACUGCUUCUAAUCGUCUUCGGACAAUUUAUGACAAUUUGACCUCAAAUCAGGUAGGACUACCCGCUGAACUUAAGCAUAUCAAUAAGCGGAGAAGGAUC
RNAcentral lists this ribosomal RNA (660 nucleotides) under Pholiota adiposa. Its description in RNAcentral is "eukaryotic LSU rRNA". The stretch from base 237 to 390 matches the Rfam family "5.8S ribosomal RNA". Lineage: Eukaryota; Fungi; Basidiomycota; Agaricomycetes; Agaricales; Strophariaceae. The record is from RNAcentral.